This 301-nucleotide ribosomal RNA is filed under the name uncultured bacterium. Its description in RNAcentral is "partial 16S ribosomal RNA". It matches the Rfam family "Bacterial small subunit ribosomal RNA", at positions 509 to 807 of the family's 1533-position model. The record is from RNAcentral.
CAGUAGCCGCGGUAAUACGUAGGGUGCGAGCGUUAAUCGGAAUUACUGGGCGUAAAGCGUGCGCAGGCGGUUUUGUAAGACAGGCGUGAAAUCCCCGGGCUCAACCUGGGAAUGGCGCUUGUGACUGCAAAGCUAGAGUGCGGCAGAGGGGGAUGGAAUUCCGCGUGUAGCAGAGAAAUGCGUAGAUAUGCGGAGGAACACCGAUGGCGAAGGCAAUCCCCUGGGCCUGCACUGACGCUCAUGCACGAAAGCGUAGGGAGCAAACAGGAUUAGAUACCCCCGUAGUCCCUGUCUCUUAUAC